CAAACAGUUUCGUCUCGCGGCAGACGUGCUCGCAAAGUCGAGCAACUGACAAGAUAGGCUCGCGUGCGCCUGUGCGCGCGCGCACGCGCGCCGACUCCUGAGCUUGUGUAGCACGAGGUGAAGCAGGCACGAGGAAAAUAUCAGCUGGACCUCAUGAUUGGAUGGACGGCCCUUAACGACCUUCAGCCAUACAUCACGAGACAAUUCUGAUGAUUUGUUGCAUCAAUUGACUCUUCACAUAAUCUCAUUUGGGUUUGAAAAUGCACUCAUCCAAAGGUUCCAGUCCGGGCCUUCAUUACAGCACAGCUGCCCACACACCUUCAGAUAAAGGGAUGCGAGCGGAUGGAGAGUGCCACAUAUACUUGAGAGCAUUUUUUAAUUUCUUGGUGCUCCAUCUGUUGAAAUGAUAAAGUGCAGCCGUAAUGGAGUGCAACAAGAUUAAAUUAAUCAGACGGGUGCGGCCAGAGGGUCCUGAAGUGCAACGGAUCCGGUUGCAUAGACCACCCUUGUCUGGAUGUCGGCGGUAAGGAACACAACAACUUCCACAAGCAUAUCAUGAUGCCCAUAGAUCAUAUGAACCUGGAGAAAUGGGGAGGGGGGUGUUUAAUGGAGCCUCUCUGAUGAGUGCACGCCUAACCUCUCUUGUAUGAAUCUCAUGGCUCAGUAUAGAAGGUCACGGCCACGGGACAGAGCCUACAGGAUGUGUGCUUAACACGAGGAGAUCUCAGUCUCGUACCACAAAGCUCCCGCCGCCACUAAAGCGCAGAAAUGGCAGAACUGUCACGCUCGGCAUCUCAGAUGCUUUUCAUUCUCAGCACCGCUAUCACUUUUAUGAUUUAUGUCAUGCAGCACAGUAAAACACAACAAUGCGCCAGUGGUUUCUCUGCAUGAAGACGCUCACAUGUUUGGGGGCACCUCUGCUGAGAGCCAUCUAUCUUGAGCCACAUCUGGUUUCAAGUGAUUCUUGCGCAGUCCAACGUGGCCGAGCUUAAGGUUAUUGUGGCUAAAUGAAAAAUUACCAUAACAAAUCAGACAAUACACUUUAUUACAUUAUAUGCUGCAUUUCAUUUUGAGGUCAGGAGUUUUGUAUUAGUCUCCUCUUACAUUACAAGCAAAAUGAAACAACCCCACACCUGGAGAAAAACACAUAUUUUUGACAUGUAUAAAGGAGGAGGUGGUGUUUUUAUUUAAAUGUUGAGCUUUUUUUCUUUGUCCCCUAUUUGUGUGCAUUGAGAUUUAUGAUAACUGGUGUUUUGCUCAUGCAGGUAACAUGAGGAGCACAACAAUGAGUAUGAAUACGAUAUCAUAAAAAUAUAGAAAGGUAUACAACAUUUGGAUUGUAUAUUUACUCCUUUAGACUUAAAGCUUCAGCACACAAUACAAUCUAGGGUGUCAUCUGGUAAUUAAUUUCCAUUGGUGGGCAUUUAUAUGUUUAACUUGCAAGACAUCCAGAUAUACAAAUCCAAUAACAACCAAAUUACUAUGAUUCAUUGCUGCUGCAGUGUAGUAUAUAGCUGUGGGCUGAGAGCUUUCCUGUUGCCAAAUCAAAUACCCCUUCAGGUAUGUACAGUAAAAAAAGGAAAAGUCCAGUUCAGUCUGUCUUCUAUCAGUGGUUUUAUUGGUGAGGAAGAGUGACACAUGUUUAAAAGUGGAGCCACGUUUAAAAAAGUUUGAUAAGACAUAUAAGAAAUCAUAAAGUAGGAAAGAUUUGUAAUCCAUAGUCUUCAAAAAAGAGGUUAGAAUCUUAGAAACAGUUUUUAUCCUAAUAGGAAAAAAGCUUUUGGGGGAUGUAAUGUGUGUUAAGGUUAAAAAAGUCACAAGGAAUAUCAGAAAGGAAUUGCAUUAUUGGACCUUCUUGGACAUUCUGUAAUACGAUUUCACCGACUUACCCUCUGCAACCAGUGUCUUUAAUCUCGCUUCUCUCUGACCACCUUCUACCAGGUUUCCCCUCAUUUAUCUGUGGUUUCAUAUAAUAAUCCAGCGUCUGGCAGGUGUUCAGGCUGAGAGCACCAUCUUCAGCUAACAUCUAACUAGAUGCAUCACAUUUUGCCAAAAGCUUGUGUUUCAUGAUGAUGUUACAGUUUCUUUAAGGGGAAGUGAGAUAUUAGAUUUGUAGAGCCUCUACUCUGCUGUCUUAUAA
Betta splendens (Siamese fighting fish) is the source of this 2140-nucleotide long non-coding RNA. RefSeq lists it as uncharacterized. NCBI's taxonomy places the organism in Eukaryota, Metazoa, Chordata, Actinopteri, Anabantiformes, Osphronemidae. The record is from RefSeq and is a predicted model, not a curated record. The transcript has 5 exons.